This 433-nucleotide ribosomal RNA is filed under the name uncultured bacterium. RNAcentral's name for it is "partial 16S ribosomal RNA". It matches the Rfam family "Bacterial small subunit ribosomal RNA", at positions 29 to 507 of the family's 1533-position model. The record is from RNAcentral.
AACGAACGCUGGCGGCAUGCCUAACACAUGCAAGUCGAACGAGACCUUCGGGUCUAGUGGCGCACGGGUGCGUAACGCGUGGGAACCUGCCCUUAGGUUCGGAAUAACUCCCCGAAAGGGGUGCUAAUACCGGAUAAUGUCUUCGGACCAAAGAUUGAUCGCCUUUGGAUGGGCCCGAGUUGGAUUAGCUAGUUGGUAGGGUAAAAGCCUAUCAAGGCGACGAUCCAUAGCUGGGUUGAGAGGAAGAUCAGCCACACUGGGGCUGAGACACGGCCCAGACUCCUACGGGAGGCAGCAGUGGGGAAUAUUGGACUAUGGGCGAAAGCCUGAUCCAGCAAUGCCGCGUGAGUGAUGAAGGCCUGAGGGUUGUAAAGCUCUUUUACCCGGGAUGAUAAUGACAGUACCGGGAGAAUAAGCACCGGCUAACUCCGUG